This 464-nucleotide ribosomal RNA is filed under the name uncultured bacterium. RNAcentral describes it as "partial 16S ribosomal RNA". It matches the Rfam family "Bacterial small subunit ribosomal RNA", at positions 339 to 795 of the family's 1533-position model. The record is from RNAcentral.
CUACGGGUCGCUGCAGCGGGGAAUAUUGCACAAUGGGCGCAAGCCUGAUGCAGCCAUGCCGCGUGUAUGAAGAAGGCCUUCGGGUUGUAAAGUACUUUCAGCGGGGAGGAAGGGAGUAAAGUUAAUACCUUUGCUCAUUGACGUUACCCGCAGAAGAAGCACCGGCUAACUCCGUGCCAGCAGCCGCGGUAAUACGGAGGGUGCAAGCGUUAAUCGGAAUUACUGGACGUAAAGCGCACGCAGGCGGUUUGUUAAGUCAGAUGUGAAAUCCCCGGGCUCAACCUGGGAACUGCAUCUGAUACUGGCAAGCUCGAGUCUCGUAGAGGGGGGUAGAAUUCCAGGUGUAGCGGUGAAAUGCGUAGAGAUCUGGAGGAAUACCGGUGGCGAAGGCGGCCCCCUGGACGAAGACUGACGCUCAGGUGCGAAAGCGUGGGGAGCAAACAGGAUUAGAUACCCCGGUAGUC